Molecule: ribosomal RNA, 253 nt
Filed under: uncultured bacterium
Lineage: Bacteria
Description: partial 16S ribosomal RNA
Rfam family: Bacterial small subunit ribosomal RNA
Source: RNAcentral
UACGGGGGGGGCAAGCGUUGUUCGGAAUUACUGGGCGUAAAGGGCUCGUAGGCGGCCAACUAAGUCAGACGUUAAAUCCCUCGGCUUAACCGGGGAACUGCGUCUGAUACUGGAUGGCUUGAGGUUGGGAGAGGGAUGCGGAAUUCCAGGUGUAGCGGUGAAAUGCGUAGAUAUCUGGAGGAACACCGGUGGCGAAGGCGGCAUCCUGGACCAAUUCUGACGCUGAGGAGCGAAAGCCAGGGGAGCAAACGGG